This 253-nucleotide ribosomal RNA is filed under the name uncultured bacterium. RNAcentral's name for it is "partial 16S ribosomal RNA". It matches the Rfam family "Bacterial small subunit ribosomal RNA", at positions 524 to 776 of the family's 1533-position model. The record is from RNAcentral.
UACGGGGGGGGCAAGCGUUGUUCGGAAUUACUGGGCGUAAAGGGCUCGUAGGCGGCCAACUAAGUCAGACGUGAAAUCCCCAGGCUCAACCUGGGAACUGCGUCUGAUACUGGAUGGCUUGAAUCCGGGAGAGGGAUGCAGAAUUCCAGGUGUAGCGGUGAAAUGCGUAGAUAUCUGGAGGAAUACCGGUGGCGGAGGCGGCAUCCUGGACCGGCAUUGACGCUGAGGAGCGAAAGCUAGGGGAGCAAACGGG